Papio anubis (olive baboon) is the source of this 102-nucleotide Y RNA. It matches the Rfam family "Y RNA". From Rfam's summary of the family: Y RNAs are components of the Ro ribonucleoprotein particle (Ro RNP), in association with Ro60 and La proteins. The Y RNAs and Ro60 and La proteins are well conserved, but the function of the Ro RNP is not known. NCBI's taxonomy places the organism in Eukaryota, Metazoa, Chordata, Mammalia, Primates, Cercopithecidae. The record is from Ensembl.
AGCUGGUCCAAGGGCAGCGGUGUUUACAACUAACUGAUCACAACCAGUUACAGAUUUCUUUGUUCCUUUUCCAUUCCCUCUGCUUCGCCUGACGAGCCUAAA